Vicia villosa (hairy vetch) is the source of this 1371-nucleotide long non-coding RNA. RefSeq lists it as uncharacterized. NCBI's taxonomy places the organism in Eukaryota, Viridiplantae, Streptophyta, Magnoliopsida, Fabales, Fabaceae. The record is from RefSeq and is a predicted model, not a curated record. The transcript is spliced from 3 exons.
UUACUCUUUCUAGUUCUCUUUGUUUGUUAGGGUUAUUUCCCAUUUCUCAAUGACAGAAGUUAUCACGUGGCUACAUCCUCUUCAUGUAGUAGCAAGGGUGUGAGUGAGUGAUAAUUGCUAACUAUUUACUUUUCAGAAUCGGGAAAACCAAAAUGCCAAGUUGUUUAACACAACAUUUCAUAUGCAGUCAACAAAUCAACAAAUUUUUCAAACCUCCCACUGCCGUCGCCGACGAUGACGAUGAUUUGCUCAACUGGAACUGGGAGAACAACCAACACCCUAUUAUCAACACUUACACCCGAAUUCAUCGAAACCCUAAUCCAAUUCCUUCACCUCACACCAUAAUAUAAAAACCACUAGUAGUCAAGAACAAGAAGAGAAGCUACGUUCAGUUCCAUUUGGAAUUAGGUCAAUCCGGUUUUUAUUACGCGUGCACUCCACCUGUGCUAUUGAGUUUACUCCCGGAGAUGUCGAAGACGAGAAAUUACACGCUCAAUUUCACUAAAUUUAUGCGCAAGGAAUCCAAUUUAGAGAUUGGAAUAAUGAAAGGGUUGUUUAUUAUGAUAAAUGUUGGAUAAUGAUCCAUCUUUCCACAGAAUAAACAAGGUUCAUGAAGUUGUGAAGAUGAUGGGAAGUGGAUGGAUAACGAAUCAACAUUGUAAGGUGGAUAAUGUUAAACAUCACCUCAAAAAACUUACUUGCAAUCUUAUUCUAGUAACAGGUGAAAUUUGAGACAGGUUCUUAUUCUAGUAACAGAAUUUGUAAUCUUCAAUCUUUAUUCAAAGGAAAAUCUAGUCAUUAUACAACAGGAACUUCUGUAAUAUCUUGUGAUACGUUAUCCGAAGAAAAGCCUAAAGAGAAUUCUGUUUCUGAUAUGUUGGUUGAUUCAUUUGGAAGGAUUCAUACUUACUUGAGAAUAUCAUUAACAGAGAGAUGUAAUUUAAGGUGUAAGUAUUUUAUGCCAGCUGAAGGUCUGGAGUUAACUCCUACUGAUCAGGUGUAAGUAUUUUAGAAAUUUGUAAGACAACUUAUAUUUAGGUGUUUAUGUCUUGUUUGCUUAAGACUAGAGUAUAUGACCUAUAGUUCUAUGAAACAAAAAUACGACACUUGUUAUAUAAGUGUCAUAUGGGUGUCGGGCACCGAUUUUAAAGAGUGUCGAACCAAAGAAAAUAAAUCGUUUCUUUGGGGACACCUAUUUGACUUUUCUAACAAUUGUUGAAUGGAGUGGAGAAAGCACAACAUAUUGAAUGGAGUAAGAUCCAGUUGUUUUGUUUUGUAUUUAUUGAACUGGUUAAUAAACACUUGUUUGAAUAUGGUUUUGUAAAAUUUAGUGAAUACAUGGAUUGAGCUUUAAGAUGAACUUCCUGAACA